Molecule: ribosomal RNA, 438 nt
Filed under: uncultured bacterium
Lineage: Bacteria
Description: bacterial SSU rRNA
Rfam family: Bacterial small subunit ribosomal RNA
Source: RNAcentral
GCACAACGCGAAGAACCUUACCUACUCUUGACAUCCAGAGAACUUUCCAGAGAUGGAUUGGUGCCUUCGGGAACUCUGAGACAGGUGCUGCAUGGCUGUCGUCAGCUCGUGUUGUGAAAUGUUGGGUUAAGUCCCGCAACGAGCGCAACCCUUAUCCUUUGUUGCCAGCGGUUCGGCCGGGAACUCAAAGGAGACUGCCAGUGAUAAACUGGAGGAAGGUGGGGAUGACGUCAAGUCAUCAUGGCCCUUACGAGUAGGGCUACACACGUGCUACAAUGGCGUAUACAAAGAGAAGCGACCUCGCGAGAGCAAGCGGACCUCAUAAAGUACGUCGUAGUCCGGAUUGGAGUCUGCAACUCGACUCCAUGAAGUCGGAAUCGCUAGUAAUCGUAGAUCAGAAUGCUACGGUGAAUACGUUCCCGGGUCUUGUACACACCG